GCUGACAUGAACCUGAUCACAUCCUUGUCCAAAUCCCAUCUGUGAUCCAUUAGGGCUGAAAGAGCCGAAAUAUGAACUUUAAGGGUGUUGAGGCUUAACCCUUUGUCAAGACCUAGUUGUAGGAAUUCCAGAAUAUCUGUAGUGGAGAUUGACUGUGUAUUGAUUUGUUUAGAUGUAGCCCAGGAGAAAAAGAUGCCCCAGAUUCUAUAAUAUGUGGUAGACGUAGAGCGUCUAUUACUGCCUGUGAGAAUCCCUUUUCUUUUAGCCCUUCCCUUUCA
Pelobates cultripes (western spadefoot toad) is the source of this 278-nucleotide non-coding RNA. NCBI's taxonomy places the organism in Eukaryota, Metazoa, Chordata, Amphibia, Anura, Pelobatidae. The record is from the annotation of a GenBank genome assembly.